This is a long non-coding RNA of Planococcus citri (citrus mealybug), 1518 nucleotides long. RefSeq lists it as uncharacterized. The record is from RefSeq and is a predicted model, not a curated record. The transcript is spliced from 2 exons. Lineage: Eukaryota; Metazoa; Arthropoda; Insecta; Hemiptera; Pseudococcidae.
AUUGUAAUAGAGGCGUUAAGAGGAUGUUUAAAUACGUAAGUAGUAGGCAUUGGGUAUUUUCCAUAUGGCAAUUCCAUGAAUCAACGAUAAAAACAAUAUCAACAAUACACCUACGAUGUAUUAUCUCGUAGAAUAUACGAUAUCGAAAGCAAUGAAAUUUUCACAUUUUGCCAUUUGAUUUCGUUGUAGUGUUACAUGGUAUAAUUUAAUAACUAAUGCGAUUGUUCAAAAACUGAAAUCAAAAUUAAGUUUACAAUAAGUAUAGUUUUGUUGCAUUGAUCCACAGAAAUCCGAUGCACCAUUCAUAACACGCAGGCUUUAUAACAACUCACACACGGUUCCCAUUUUAUUCACUAGCUGCUAUCAACCGCGAACAUCAAAUCAAAAAUAUCAUGGCGCUGGCGGAUCUGUUCUCUGUACUCACAUUCAUAGAAAAAAUCGCAUUUAUACCGUCAAUUAUCUGCCUAAUGAUUCAUUUUUAUAAAUUUUUUCGAAGUGGUAAAAUAUCAUCGCAAACUUUAGCCACUAAAAAUCUCACUUUCUACUGUUUUCUUCUCUUCCCAUACCUUCUUUUAGUAUUCCGGAUACAGUUCUUUCUAUCGUCAGAGUCAGUUAUACUCUAUCAUCGUUUUGAUGCAUUAGUUUAUUACACAUUUGUAGCACACCUAUACAUGCGCCAUUCAUUAUCGUUUUUCAAACUAAUUAUGGCUCUAGAUAUACUCUUAUGUUUUCGUAAUAUUUCCCUUCAUUUGCAACGCCCACCCCCAGGUAAUCAAAACAAUAAAUUUUAUGCAUAUUGCCUUUUAGGAACAUGCAUUCCUGCGGUUUACUUAUACCUGACCCAUAAUGUGUAUACCAUUCCAUUCAGUAAGGAAGAAUUAUUGACCUUUAUCCGUAUCGCUCGUUUAAUUCCUACUGUCGGUGCAUUUUGGCACAUACGAUCUACCAGCAUCGAUAAAUCUGAGUUAUGGGUAAAGUUCUCUUUGUAUAUACGUCUUCUCAUAAUGCUCGGUGGUUUAGCUGCUCUUCUCAGUGUUUCUCAAGUGUAUCUAAAAAUUAGUCUGUAUUUCAGUGAUGACUCAUUAGACAAAAACUUAUCAAGCUUAUUAGUUAGUGAAAAUAUAGAAAUGCAACAUUUUUUCUCAGGUAUACUAGACACCUGCACUAUUCUAGAAGGUAUCAUUAUAGGAAUAUUCUUUACAUUUAAGAAAGAUACAUUUAGAUCUAGUCAUACUGCUGAUCAGGAACACACACAGGUAUCAUUUAAGGUAGGGCACAGUGUGGCAAGUGUUGAGGAGCAGGCUUAAAACAAUUUCAAUACCUACCUAUAAUACGCUACUCCAUGCAUAAUUUUUGUACUGAGAAUUGAGAGGAGGUCGCGUGCCUCUGGAUGCGUUACUAGUUCUCAUUUUAUAUUUUAAUUAUAUCAAUUAGUUUAAAUGUACCAAAAUAGUAGAAUUUACCUGCAUGCGUAAAUAUUUGUACAUCAUGAAUUAAAAUUUAAAAUCGAAUUUACUA